AAAAUAAUUUGACAUUGUGUGUAUAGGUCAUAGAUACGUACAGAAUCUCUCUCGCUAAUCUCUCUUACUGAACCUCUCUCUCACCGAUAUCUCUAGCCAAUCUCUCUUGCCGGACCUCUCCCUCCUGUUAAUCUCUGCGGUGCGUUCGGUUUCUCAUCAUUCAAUUAUAAUCGCAAACACAGGAUGGCGUCUUCCUCCAGUCAACUCAGUGUUUGUCCAAUCAAGUUCAUCUCUGUGGUUUUUUCAGUCGUUGUCAGGUCUAAGGCGCAAACUAAUCUAGUUAGUUCUAUUCUAUAUCAUAGCAGAGAGACUCAAAAGUUCAUAUACAUUGGAAAGGAGCAGCAGAAAUGGUUCUAGGAUCCUGCAAAAGAUAUCUUAAGUCAGAUCGUUCCUUGCAACUAAUUGACAAUGAAGUAAUUACUCAUCCCAUGUUUUAAUGGUUUAAAUUAAAAAAUUUGCAAUUUAAGGUGAUAGAAUUAAGAAAUUUCUUCCGGUGUCUUAUAUUUACUUAAAAGCUAAGUAGAACUGGAUUUUAAUUAAUAGAAGUCGCUAGAUUUUGAAUCGCGAUAUCCAUAAUUUACUAUUGCAGUGAUUUUUAAAAAAUGUUGUUGAAGAUAUGGCUGCAAAAAGCCUGCGAUGUGUUGUCAUUGCAUAUAAGAAGUGCGAAAUGGACAAAGUUCUGAAAGAUGAAAAGCAUAUGGCAGAAUGGGUUUUACCCGAAGAUGACCUUGUAUGGAAUGCUUAUGUUGGUAUAAAGGAUCCGUGCCGCCUAGGUGUUAAAGAUGAAGUCAAACUAUGCAGUGAUGCCAGUGUGAAGGUAAACAUAAUAUACUAUACCAUAUUAAGCCUAUGAGUUCAGCCAGGAUGUUUAUGUCCUGAUGAGUUCAGUGCGAUGCUGUUACUGCCUCACUUCUGCAAUUAGUCUGACCUCUAAGGUUGUAGUUUGUUUUUCUUAUUAGCAACAGUGACACAUGAAAGCUAGACUACUAAGCAAUAGAGUAGCUCCUAUUUUCACCCCCUGAGCUAUAUAGGUUGCAGGUAGAACUAAAAUCAGGUGCAAAGUGUAGAGCAUGCUGCAGAUAUGUUAUUGUCUUGAAGAUUGUUAAGCACGUGAAACCUCUUACAGAAACAAUAUUCGAGACUCUUGGUAAUGAACUUCAUUUUUGGGGCGGUAUCCUUUCUUUCUCUUCAGUCUGCUAAUUUCGUAAGGACUGUCCUUUUAAAUGCUUCAUGUUUCAUCUAGCAGUUUUGUUCUAUUUUCCAGAUCAUUAUUAUUUUGUCAUGCUCCAUCUGCAUUAUUAAUAAUAAAUCAGUAUCGUUGAUUAUAUUUUAAUUGAUAGCUCUGUAUUCUAAGUUUUAUUAAUUAUGGAUGAGUCAAGUGUGAUGAUAUUUGGUGUGACUUGUCAAGACGCUUCUUGUUAAGGUCAUUGCUUCGCCGUUUCAUGUAAGCACGUUUUUUAUCUGAUUUAGGAGUGUUUAAUCAGAGUGUGAUUCAGACGCUGCCAGAGCAGCCAUUGGUUGAGAUUCAACAUGAGAAGGAAGAGGAGAGAGUCAUGGUUUUGGAGGGGUGGAGUUUUUGCUAUUCUUGUUCUAGAAUAAAAUCAGUUUGUUUUGAUUUUUAGUGUUUAGCUGUAUUGUUGUUGUGGUUCUACUAUGGAAUCUUUUUUUUUUUUUGUAAAUAAUGUAGUUUGAAAUUAUUCCUUGAAUUUGAUUCUCUUGCAGAACCAAGACAGUGAAUUUAAUUUAGCAGUGUUUAAUCAGAAUGUGACUCAGACGCUGCCAGAGCAGCCAUUGGUUGAGAUUCAACAUGAGAAGGAAGAAGAGGAAAGAGUCAUGGUUGAGGAGGGGAGGAGUUUCUGCUAUUCUUGUUCUAGAAUAAAAUCAGUUUGUUUUGAUUUUUAGUUUUUAGCUGUAUUGUUGUUGUGGUUCUACUGUGGAAUCUUUUUUUUUUUUUUUUUUUGUAAAUAAUGGAGUUUGAAAUUAUUCCUUCAAUUUUGAUUCUCUUGCAGAACCAAGACAGUGAAUUUAUUUAUUAAAUUUUUAAUUUUUGCAUAGUUCUGUAUCGUAGAUUUGGUUCUACGUGAGAAUCUUUUGUAAUAAAAUUUUAAUUGAAAUCAGUAUGUAUUUAUUAAAUUAUUUCUUGAA
RNA transcript from Daucus carota subsp. sativus, 2145 nucleotides. It is a transcript of the gene named calcium-transporting ATPase 10, plasma membrane-type, with no coding region annotated. NCBI's taxonomy places the organism in Eukaryota, Viridiplantae, Streptophyta, Magnoliopsida, Apiales, Apiaceae. The transcript has 3 exons. The record is from RefSeq and is a predicted model, not a curated record.